RNAcentral lists this ribosomal RNA (324 nucleotides) under uncultured eukaryote. RNAcentral's name for it is "partial 18S ribosomal RNA". It matches the Rfam family "Eukaryotic small subunit ribosomal RNA", at positions 1470 to 1796 of the family's 1831-position model. The record is from RNAcentral.
CCCUUAGAUGCUCUGGGCCGCACGCGCGCUACACUGGUCGAUGCAACGAGUUUCUUUCCUUGGCCGACAGGCCUGGGCAAUCUUUGAACAUCGAUCGUGAUCGGGAUAGAUUCUUGUAAUUUUUGAUCUUAAACGAGGAAUUCCUAGUAAACGCAAGUCAUCAGCUUGCAUUGAUUACGUCCCUGCCCUUUGUACACACCGCCCGUCGCACCUACCGAUUGAAUGGCCCGGUGAAAUCUCCGGACUGGCGUGAGUCGGAGCAAUCUGACAAACACCGGAAAGUUGAUUAAACCUUACCAUUUAGAGGAAGGUGAAGUCGUAACA